CAUGCAGUCGAACGAUGAUCCCAGCUUGCUGGGGGAUUAGUGGCGAACGGGUGAGUAACACGUGAGUAACCUGCCCUUAACUCUGGGAUAAGCCUGGGAAACUGGGUCUAAUACCGGAUAUGACUCCUCAUCGCAUGGUGGGGGGUGGAAAGCUUUUUGUGGUUUUGGAUGGACUCGCGGCCUAUCAGCUUGUUGGUGAGGUAAUGGCUUACCAAGGCGACGACGGGUAGCCGGCCUGAGAGGGUGACCGGCCACACUGGGACUGAGACACGGCCCAGACUCCUACGGGAGGCAGCAGUGGGGAAUAUUGCACAAUGGGCGCAAGCCUGAUGCAGCGACGCCGCGUGAGGGAUGACGGCCUUCGGGUUGUAAACCUCUUUCAGUAGGGAAGAAGCGAAAGUGACGGUACCUGCAGAAGAAGCGCCGGCUAACUACGUGCCAGCAGCCGCGGUAAUACGUAGGGCGCAAGCGUUAUCCGGAAUUAUUGGGCGUAAAGAGCUCGUAGGCGGUUUGUCGCGUCUGCCGUGAAAGUCCGGGGCUCAACUCCGGAUCUGCGGUGGGUACGGGCAGACUAGAGUGAUGUAGGGGAGACUGGAAUUCCUGGUGUAGCGGUGAAAUGCGCAGAUAUCAGGAGGAACACCGAUGGCGAAGGCAGGUCUCUGGGCAUUAACUGACGCUGAGGAGCGAAAGCAUGGGGAGCGAACAGGAUUAGA
This 713-nucleotide ribosomal RNA is filed under the name Arthrobacter sp. RNAcentral describes it as "bacterial SSU rRNA". It matches the Rfam family "Bacterial small subunit ribosomal RNA", at positions 54 to 782 of the family's 1533-position model. Lineage: Bacteria; Bacillati; Actinomycetota; Actinomycetes; Micrococcales; Micrococcaceae. The record is from RNAcentral.